This 28-nucleotide small RNA is filed under the name Bombyx mori (domestic silkworm). RNAcentral describes it as "ovarian small RNA-31087". Lineage: Eukaryota; Metazoa; Arthropoda; Insecta; Lepidoptera; Bombycidae. The record is from RNAcentral.
UGAAUAUAGGAGGUAUCAAAUCAGGGCC